Molecule: ribosomal RNA, 32 nt
Filed under: Chionoloma recurvifolium
Lineage: Eukaryota; Viridiplantae; Streptophyta; Bryopsida; Pottiales; Pottiaceae
Description: partial 26S ribosomal RNA
Source: RNAcentral
AUCAGACCUCUGAUCAGAGAAGACUACCCGCU